This 64-nucleotide transfer RNA is filed under the name Peirates lepturoides. RNAcentral describes it as "tRNA-Arg". The record is from RNAcentral. Lineage: Eukaryota; Metazoa; Arthropoda; Insecta; Hemiptera; Reduviidae.
AAAGUAGUGAAGUAAAAUUUACAUUUAGUUUCGACCUAAAAUUAGGGAUAUACCCCUUACUUAA